Molecule: ribosomal RNA, 486 nt
Filed under: uncultured bacterium
Lineage: Bacteria
Description: partial 16S ribosomal RNA
Rfam family: Bacterial small subunit ribosomal RNA
Source: RNAcentral
GUUGAACGCUGGCGGCAUGCCUUACACAUGCAAGUCGAACGGCAGCACGGGGGCUUUCACCUGCUGGCGAGUGGCGAACGCGGGAGUAUUACAUGGGGACAAGUCCUCUAUUGGGGUAUAGUACCGCGGAGACCCCGUUAAUACUGCAUACGAAUUACUGGUAACACCUGGGUCACUUGUGGCCUCGCGCUUUGCGGUCGGCUGACGGCUGAUUAGCGAGUUGGUGGGGUAACGGCCUACCAAGGCCACGAUCAGUAGCUGGUCUGAGAGGGCGACCAGCCACACUGGGACUGAGACACGGCCCAGACUCCUACGGGAGGCAGCAGUGGGGAAUUUUGGACAAUGGGCGAAAGCCUGAUCCAGCAAUGCCGCGUGUGUGAAGAAGGCCUUCGGGUUGUAAAGCACUGUUGUCAGGAAAGAACUAAUUGGCCAUAAUCCGGUCAGGGGAUGACGGUACCGGAAGAAUAAGCCACGGCUAACUACGUG